Molecule: microRNA precursor, 71 nt
Filed under: Cordylochernes scorpioides
Lineage: Eukaryota; Metazoa; Arthropoda; Arachnida; Pseudoscorpiones; Chernetidae
Source: RNAcentral
CUCAAGAUCCCGGGGUGGGCUGAUGUUUUUUGAAUUAACACAAACAUCAGCUUACCCCGGGGUUUUGGGUU